AGAGCGUGAGAGGGACCGAAAAGGUAAGGUGUUGUACAAGGGAUGGGAAGCAGUGGGCUGUAACUGCAGAAGGAAGGGAGAAGAAGGAGAGAAAGAGCCAGAGCUGUGUGGAGCUGCCCAUGGGAGGCCACAGAGAAAAGGUGUUCAAACCCCGCUGCUGGGAAACAACAGGCAAGAUGAAGCUCUCAGCAUUUGUGCCAUCCUCACCAGCCCCUGAGGAGGAGAGAGAGCUAGCAGCCACUAGAACCCUUCCUGGACCAAGAUGAUGAUGUAUCAAGAUUGAAACUCCUCCCGGUCUUUUCACGGAACGGAUCGAUAACGCCGGCCACGUCGCUCCUCUGUCCGGGGCCACGAGAAAGCUUCAGCCACCGAGCCGCUGCCUCCUCGUGCCCGUGUGUCUUGGUUUUGAAAAGACAGGUGUCUGCUAAGGAGAGGCAGGCCUCUCCAGGAAAUGAGGAAUUCAAAUCCUUCCCUCCGUGUUAUUAUAAUUUGGAAGAUUAAAAAAAAAACAACUUUUCAGUCAGAGCUAUGGGGAAAAGGAAUAACAGUCCUUUACUAGUAAAUAUAACAGGACAGACAAAAAACCAACAGCAAUUAUAACAAUAGUAAGACAGAACCAAGAACCCCGAG
Long non-coding RNA from Hirundo rustica (Barn swallow), 630 nucleotides. RefSeq lists it as uncharacterized. The transcript is spliced from 3 exons. Lineage: Eukaryota; Metazoa; Chordata; Aves; Passeriformes; Hirundinidae. The record is from RefSeq and is a predicted model, not a curated record.